UACGUAGGGCGCAAGCGUUGUCCGGAAUUAUUGGGCGUAAAGAGCUCGUAGGCGGUUUGUCGCGUCUGUCGUGAAAGCUUGGGGCUUAACCCCAAGUCUGCGGUGGAUACGGGCAGACUAGAGGCAGGUAGGGGAGAACGGAAUUCCCGGUGUAGCGGUGAAAUGUGCAGAUAUCGGGAGGAACACCGGUGGCGAAGGCGGUUCUCUGGGCCUGUACUGACGCUGAGGAGCGAAAGCGUGGGGAGCGAACAGG
This 253-nucleotide ribosomal RNA is filed under the name uncultured bacterium. RNAcentral describes it as "partial 16S ribosomal RNA". It matches the Rfam family "Bacterial small subunit ribosomal RNA", at positions 524 to 776 of the family's 1533-position model. The record is from RNAcentral.